ACGUCAGUGGUGCAACAGCAGCACACCCGCCCCGCGGCGGGAGGUCCUGGUGCAAGUCCAGGCUGACGUCCCA
RNAcentral lists this transfer RNA (73 nucleotides) under Streptomyces sp. KY70. Its description in RNAcentral is "Pseudo tRNA". RNAcentral also lists the same sequence under 1 other name. Lineage: Bacteria; Bacillati; Actinomycetota; Actinomycetes; Kitasatosporales; Streptomycetaceae. The record is from RNAcentral.